CGACAAUCCUGCUUUUCCAAAGUGUCUGCAUCCAGUUCGCCAGACAACAGAUCAUAAGAAAUGGUUUCAACCAGGUUCCAAAGCCCUCUUCAAAGUUGAGAAGCUGUUGUCAAAUAAGAGGGUCCUUACUGAUGUGGAGAAGUUGAGCUCCAAGUACCAGACCUCAACAUUGGAGGCCUUCCACAAUAUUGUUAUACGCUUCACUCCAAAAAAUGUUGUAUUUCCAUACAUUGGCAUGUUGUGCAGGUUGUACCUGGCAGCCAUGCAUUUUAACGAAAAUGCAGGGCGUACCCAGGCCAGAACAACAUCAGGGAAACUAAGAUACAAG
This is a long non-coding RNA of Paramisgurnus dabryanus, 328 nucleotides long. RefSeq lists it as uncharacterized. The record is from RefSeq and is a predicted model, not a curated record. Lineage: Eukaryota; Metazoa; Chordata; Actinopteri; Cypriniformes; Cobitidae.